This 253-nucleotide ribosomal RNA is filed under the name uncultured bacterium. Its description in RNAcentral is "partial 16S ribosomal RNA". It matches the Rfam family "Bacterial small subunit ribosomal RNA", at positions 524 to 776 of the family's 1533-position model. The record is from RNAcentral.
UACAGAGGGGGCAAGCGUUGUUCGGAAUUACUGGGCGUAAAGGGCGUGUAGGCGGCCAACUAAGUCCGACGUGAAAUCCCCAGGCUUAACCUGGGAACUGCGUCGGAUACUGGAUGGCUUGAAUCCGGGAGAGGGAUGCGGAAUUCCAGGUGUAGCGGUGAAAUGCGUAGAUAUCUGGAGGAACACCGAUGGCGAAGGCAGCCCCCUGGGCCAACACUGACGCUCAGGCACGAAAGCGUGGGGAGCAAACAGG